AACGAACGCUGGCGGCAUGCCUAACACAUGCAAGUCGAACGAUGCUUUCGGGCAUAGUGGCGCACGGGUGCGUAACGCGUGGGAAUCUGCCCUUGGGUUCGGAAUAACAGUGAGAAAUUGCUGCUAAUACCAGAUGAUGUCUUCGGACCAAAGAUUUAUCGCCCAGGGAUGAGCCCGCGUAGGAUUAGCUAGUUGGUGGGGUAAUGGCCUACCAAGGCGACGAUCCUUAGCUGGUCUGAGAGGAUGAUCAGCCACACUGGGACUGAGACACGGCCCAGACUCCUACGGGAGGCAGCAGUGGGGAAUAUUGGACAAUGGGCGCAAGCCUGAUCCAGCAAUGCCGCGUGAGUGAUGAAGGCCUUAGGGUUGUAAAGCUCUUUUACCCGGGAUGAUAAUGACAGUACCGGGAGAAUAAGCUCCGGCUAACUCCGUG
Molecule: ribosomal RNA, 433 nt
Filed under: uncultured bacterium
Lineage: Bacteria
Description: partial 16S ribosomal RNA
Rfam family: Bacterial small subunit ribosomal RNA
Source: RNAcentral